UAUUAUGUAUAUGCAUGGAAUAACAGCUAUAACAUAAAGUAUUUAAUUAAGUUGAUUUUUCAUUUGCUGCUACAUAUUUAUAAAAUUUACAAUAAAAAUGUGUCAGUGAAAUCGGGGUAUCGACCCUUAAUUAGCUUAGAAGGACAUGAUUGGAAUAAUGGUUCCUAAUAUAUGAUUUUUUUUUUCUUUUCGAAAGUCAAAUGAGAGUUUGGUUUAUUUACUUUUG
RNAcentral lists this long non-coding RNA (226 nucleotides) under Carica papaya (papaya). RNAcentral describes it as "long non-coding RNA (CPAP_LNC007862)". The record is from RNAcentral. Lineage: Eukaryota; Viridiplantae; Streptophyta; Magnoliopsida; Brassicales; Caricaceae.